Molecule: long non-coding RNA, 863 nt
Organism: Heterocephalus glaber (naked mole-rat)
Lineage: Eukaryota; Metazoa; Chordata; Mammalia; Rodentia; Bathyergidae
Source: Ensembl
GGAACUUUAGGCAGAGAAAGAUACCAUUUACUAACUAUUCCAAAAGGAAGAGAUGACAGCACAGGAACCAAGGGUGAUGAUAAACGAACAGGUUCAUAUCCAAACUCGUCUACUUAUUGGUCAUGAAACUUGGAAUAAAUCCUUGAUUGUGAGGCUGGGUUGUUUGCAGAGAGACUCCAGAGAAAGAAAAUGGUUUGAUAAGAUCAAUGGGCAUAGAUCUAACGCUGUCAGAAAACUGGCAUGUCGUUUGAAAGGAAGGAGUAGAUCCUGGCCCCAAGAGGUUGAGGGCCACUUUCAUUUCCACAGGGAAUCAAGGAGCCAAGAAUGAACAAGAGUCUUCCAACAGGUUUUUACCAGCCCAGCCUGUCAGCAACAUCCAAGGUGGUCGGAGACCACAUAAUCCCAGCAGGGAAGCCUACAUCCCUUUUCAGCAGUUGUAAGAAGAGAGAUCUCCACUCCCUUGGUAUCCCAUAAAGGAUCAUGAGGAUUACAUCUCUCAGGGGGAAAAUGAGCUCUGCAACCUAGGCCUGGGUAUAGGGAAGUCUCUGGGCCAAAGUUGGUGGUGGUGAAAUGAUGGAACCACAGAUGAAGCCAGUGGUCAGGUCUGGGGCCUCCGCCUUUCAACGACAGUGCUUUAUCUUGAAAGAUAUUCAUUUCCAGCUUCAGGAGCUGUCUGAGGCCCAGGAAGAAAUGGACUUCAGAUCAACUCACCCAACACUGAAAGUGAAGAGCCACGAAGUAUGAGAAAGACCUACCUCAGGAACCUUGCUUGAGUCCCAGGUCAUCCCUAACCCAAGACGAGGAACCAGCAGAUUCAAUUUUUGCUUAGGCAAGUUUGGGUUCAUUUUUCUGUUCCUUGCAAC